Molecule: ribosomal RNA, 830 nt
Filed under: Cenococcum geophilum
Lineage: Eukaryota; Fungi; Ascomycota; Dothideomycetes; Gloniales; Gloniaceae
Description: eukaryotic LSU rRNA
Rfam family: Eukaryotic large subunit ribosomal RNA
Source: RNAcentral
UGCCUCAGUAACGGCGAGUGAAGCGGCAACAGCUCAAAUUUGAAAUCUGGCUCUUUUAGAGCCCGAGUUGUAAUUUGUAGAGGAUGCUUCGGCGUCGGCUCCGGUCUAAGUUCCUUGGAACAGGACGUCACAGAGGGUGAGAAUCCCGUAUGUGAUCGGUUGCCUUUGCCAUGUGAAGCUCCUUCGACGAGUCGAGUUGUUUGGGAAUGCAGCUCUAAAUGGGAGGUAAAUUUCUUCUAAAGCUAAAUACCGGCCAGAGACCGAUAGCGCACAAGUAGAGUGAUCGAAAGAUGAAAAGCACUUUGGAAAGAGAGUCAAAAAGUACGUGAAAUUGUUGAAAGGGAAGCGCUUGCAAUCAGACCUGCCUGCAGUUGCUCAUCCGGGCUUUUGCCCGGUGCACUCUUCUGCUGUCAGGCCAGCAUCAGUUCGGGCGGUCGGAUAAAGGCUUCGGGAAUGUAGCUCCCCUCGGGGAGUGUUAUAGCCCGUUGCGAAAUGCGGCCAGCUUGGACUGAGGUCCGCGCUUCGGCUAGGAUGCUGGCGUAAUGGUUGCAAGCGGCCCGUCUUGAAACACGGACCAAGGAGUCUAACAUCUGUGCGAGUGUUUGGGUGUCAAACCCGUACGCGUAAUGAAAGUGAACGGAGGCGGGAACCCCUCGGGGUGCACCGUCGACCGAUCCUGAUGUCUUCGGAUGGAUUUGAGUAAGAGCAUAGCUGUUGGGACCCGAAAGAUGGUGAACUAUGCCUGAAUAGGGUGAAGCCAGAGGAAACUCUGGUGGAGGCUCGCAGCGGUUCUGACGUGCAAAUCGAUCGUCAAAUUUGGGCAUAGGGGC